Molecule: ribosomal RNA, 253 nt
Filed under: uncultured bacterium
Lineage: Bacteria
Description: partial 16S ribosomal RNA
Rfam family: Bacterial small subunit ribosomal RNA
Source: RNAcentral
UACGUAGGGCGCAAGCGUUGUCCGGAAUUAUUGGGCGUAAAGAGCUCGUAGGCGGUUUGUCGCGUCGAAUGUGAAAACCCGGGGCUCAACCCCGGGCCUGCAUUCGAUACGGGCAGACUAGAGUUCGGUAGGGGAGACUGGAACUCCUGGUGUAGCGGUGAAAUGCGCAGAUAUCAGGAGGAACACCGGUGGCGAAGGCGGGUCUCUGGGCCGAUACUGACGCUGAGGAGCGAAAGCGUGGGGAGCGAACAGG